CCUAUACAUGCAGUCGAGCGAGGCUUCGAGCCGAGCGGCGAACGGCUGCGUAACACGUUGGUACCUGCCCCGAACUCAGGGAUAACAUCGAGAAAUCGGUGCUAAUACCGGAUAGUCCCGAAAGGGUAAAGAUUUUUCGGUUCGGGAGGGGCCUGCGGCCUAUCAGUUAGUUGGUGAGGUAAAAGCUUACCAAGACUAUGACGGGUAGCUGAUCUGAGAGGAUGAUCAGCCAGAAUGGGACUGAGACACGGCCCAUACUCCUACGGGAGGCAGCAGUAAGGAAUAUUCCGCAAUGGGGGCAACCCUGACGGAGCGACACCGCGUGGAGGAUGACACCAUUUUUGGCGUAAACUCCUGUCCUGAGGGAAGAAAUUUUUGACGGUACCUCAGAAGAAAGCACCGGCUAAUUCCGUGCCAGCAGCCGCGGUAAGACGGAAGGUGCAAGCGUUACUCGGAAUUACUGGGCGUAAAGCGUCCGCAGCCGUCUUAGAAAGUCUGAUGUAAAAUUUCGGAGCUCAACUCCGAAGUCGUAUCGGAAACUUCUAAGAUUGAGUUAGGGAGAGGCAUCUGGAAUGCCAUGUGUAGGGGUAAAAUCCGUUGAUCCAUGGUAGAACGCCAAAAGCGAAGGCAGGAUGCUGGCCAUAUACUGACGGUCAGGGACGAAAGCGUGGGGAGCAAAGGGGAUUAGAUACCCCCGUAGUCCACGCCCUAAACGAUGUGUGCUCGGUGUGGGAGAUUUCAAUUGUCUUCCGUGCCUUAGCUAACGCGGUAAGCACACCGCCUGUGAAGUACGGCCGCAAGGCUAANACAUAAAGGAAUAGACGGGGACCUACACAAGCGGUGGAGCGUGGGGUUUAAUUCGAUGAUAAGCGGAGCACCUCACCCAGACUUGACAUCUUGAGAAUGUCUAAGAAAUUAGAUCGUGCCUUUAUUUGGACU
This 939-nucleotide ribosomal RNA is filed under the name uncultured bacterium. RNAcentral's name for it is "bacterial SSU rRNA". It matches the Rfam family "Bacterial small subunit ribosomal RNA", at positions 48 to 1028 of the family's 1533-position model. The record is from RNAcentral.